This 253-nucleotide ribosomal RNA is filed under the name uncultured bacterium. RNAcentral's name for it is "partial 16S ribosomal RNA". It matches the Rfam family "Bacterial small subunit ribosomal RNA", at positions 524 to 776 of the family's 1533-position model. The record is from RNAcentral.
UACGGAGGGGGCUAGCGUUGUUCGGAAUUACUGGGCGUAAAGCGCACAUAGGCGGCUUUGUAAGUUAGAGGUGAAAGCCCAGGGCUUAACCCUGGAAUUGCCUUUAAGACUGCAUCGCUAGAAUCGUGGAGAGGUGAGUGGAAUUCCGAGUGCAGAGGUGAAAUUCGUAGAUAUUCGGAAGAACACCAGUGGCGAAGGCGACUCACUGGACACGUAUUGACGCUGAGGUGCGAAAGCGUGGGGAGCAAACAGG